Molecule: long non-coding RNA, 301 nt
Organism: Manis pentadactyla (Chinese pangolin)
Lineage: Eukaryota; Metazoa; Chordata; Mammalia; Pholidota; Manidae
Exons: 3
Source: RefSeq, a predicted model, not a curated record
GGCCAGCCAACAUCCCAGAUGUUUCUACUACUCUGGGCUGUGUUCACCUAAAUCCUCCUAGAGCAAAGGGAUUUUCGGAGAAGGGAGCCUUGAUGCUGCCAAGAACUACCAUGGAGGGAGAUGGGAAAUUUAGAGAGUCAGGAGCCACAGAGGACAUGUGCCAAACCAGAAGACAUCCAACUGGGCCUGGCAUGAAGAAUAGCCCAAGAAUAAACAGGAGCUCAGUUCAAUAAAUAUGUUUGAGCACCUGCUAAGUUGCAUAUUCUGCACUGGGCAAUAGAUAUGUAAAGGUGAAUAAAAU